UACGUAGGGUGCAAGCGUUAAUCGGAAUUACUGGGCGUAAAGGGCGCGUAGGCGGCCUUGUCAGUCAGGCGUGAAAGCCCCGGGCUCAACCUGGGAACGGCGCUUGGGACGGCGAGGCUGGAGUUCGGGAGAGGAGAGUGGAAUUCCCAGUGUAGAGGUGAAAUUCGUAGAUAUUGGGAAGAACACCGGUGGCGAAGGCGGCUCUCUGGACCGACACUGACGCUGAGGCGCGAAAGCGUGGGGAGCAAACAGG
This 253-nucleotide ribosomal RNA is filed under the name uncultured bacterium. RNAcentral's name for it is "partial 16S ribosomal RNA". It matches the Rfam family "Bacterial small subunit ribosomal RNA", at positions 524 to 776 of the family's 1533-position model. The record is from RNAcentral.